RNAcentral lists this ribosomal RNA (253 nucleotides) under uncultured bacterium. RNAcentral's name for it is "partial 16S ribosomal RNA". It matches the Rfam family "Bacterial small subunit ribosomal RNA", at positions 524 to 776 of the family's 1533-position model. The record is from RNAcentral.
UACAGAGGUGGCAAGCGUUGUUCGGAAUUACUGGGCGUAAAGGGCGAGUAGGUGGCCUUCUAAGUCAGACGUGAAAUCCCCCGGCUUAACCUGGGAACUGCGUCUGAUACUGGAGGGCUAGAGUAUGGGAGAGGAAUGUAGAAUUCCAGGUGUAGCGGUGAAAUGCGUAGAUAUCUGGAGGAAUACCGGUGGCGAAGGCGGCAUUCUGGACCAUUACUGACACUGAUCCGCGAAAGCUAGGGGAGCAAACGGG